Molecule: transfer RNA, 67 nt
Filed under: Colochirus quadrangularis
Lineage: Eukaryota; Metazoa; Echinodermata; Holothuroidea; Dendrochirotida; Cucumariidae
Description: tRNA-Ser
Source: RNAcentral
AAGAUUUAAAGAUUGGUUUUGAUCUGCUAAAUCAAAAGCCCUGUGGUUUAACUCCAUAGAAAUCUUG